AAUGAACGCUGGCGGCAGGCCUAACACAUGCAAGUCGAACGAGAUCCUUCGGGGUCUAGUGGCGCACGGGUGCGUAACACGUGGGAAUCUGCCCUUAGGUUCGGAAUAACAGUUAGAAAUGACUGCUAAUACCGGAUGAUGACGUUAAGUCCAAAGAUUUAUCGCCUGAGGAUGAGCCCGCGUAGGAUUAGCUAGUUGGUGUGGUAAAGGCGCACCAAGGCGACGAUCCUUAGCUGGUCUGAGAGGAUGGUCAGCCACACUGGGACUGAGACACGGCCCAGACUCCUACGAGAGGAAGCAGUGGGGAAUAUUGGACGAUGGGCGCAAGCCUGAUCCAGCAAUGCCGGGUGAGUGAUGAAGGCCUUAGGGUUGUAAAGCUCUUUUACCCGGGAUGAUAAUGACAGUACCGGGAGAAUAAGCCCCGGCUAACUUCGUG
RNAcentral lists this ribosomal RNA (436 nucleotides) under uncultured bacterium. RNAcentral's name for it is "partial 16S ribosomal RNA". It matches the Rfam family "Bacterial small subunit ribosomal RNA", at positions 29 to 507 of the family's 1533-position model. The record is from RNAcentral.